CCUACGGGCGGCUGCAGUCGAGAAUCAUUCACAAUGGGGGAAACCCUGAUGGUGCGACGCCGCGUGGGGGAAUGAAGGUCUUCGGAUUGUAAACCCCUGUCAUGUGGGAGCAAAUUAAAAAGAUAGUACCACACGAGGAAGAGACGGCUAACUCUGUGCCAGCAGCCGCGGUAAUACAGAGGUCUCAAGCUUUGUUCGGAAUCACUGGGCGUAAAGCGUGCGUAGGCUGUUUCGUAAGUCGUGUGUGAAAGGCGCGGGCUCAACCCGCGGACGGCACAUGAUACUGCGAGACUAGAGUAAUGGAGGGGGAACCGGAAGUCUCGGUGUAGGAGUGAAAUGCGUAGAUAUCGAGAGGAACACUCGUGGCGAAGGCGGGUUCCUGGACAUUAACUGACGCUGAGGCACGAAGGCCAGGGGAGCGAAAGGGAUUAGAUACCCGAGUAGUC
Molecule: ribosomal RNA, 446 nt
Filed under: uncultured bacterium
Lineage: Bacteria
Description: partial 16S ribosomal RNA
Rfam family: Bacterial small subunit ribosomal RNA
Source: RNAcentral